RNAcentral lists this ribosomal RNA (503 nucleotides) under uncultured bacterium. RNAcentral's name for it is "partial 16S ribosomal RNA". It matches the Rfam family "Bacterial small subunit ribosomal RNA", at positions 30 to 523 of the family's 1533-position model. The record is from RNAcentral.
AUUGAACGCUGACGGCAGGCUUAACACAUGCAAGUCGAGCGGAGUGAUGGUGCUUGCACUAUCACUUAGCGGCGGACGGGUGAGUAAUGCUUAGGAAUCUGCCUAUUAGUGGGGGACAACAUCUCGAAAGGGAUGCUAAUACCGCAUACGUCCUACGGGAGAAAGCAGGGGAUCACUUGUGACCUUGCGCUAAUAGAUGAGCCUAAGUCGGAUUAGCUAGUUGGUGGGGUAAAGGCCUACCAAGGCGACGAUCUGUAGCGGGUCUGAGAGGAUGAUCCGCCACACUGGGACUGAGACACGGCCCAGACUCCUACGGGAGGCAGCAGUGGGGAAUAUUGGACAAUGGGGGGAACCCUGAUCCAGCCAUGCCGCGUGUGUGAAGAAGGCCUUAUGGUUGUAAAGCACUUUAAGCGAGGAGGAGGCUUACCUAGUUAAUACCUGGGAUAAGUGGACGUUACUCGCAGAAUAAGCACCGGCUAACUCUGUGCCAGCAGCCGCAGUAA